GAGACGAGGGAGCAGGUCAUCCGCGAGCUCAAGAAGAUUGUGACGGAUUGGGCCAAGGCGGUGGCGUGUGAGGAGAGGGUUCCCCCGAGGCGAGGGACGGCUGCGGUCCUGACCUAUGGUUCUUACACGUUAUGGGGUUUGGACAUCAAUGCUAUAUUUCUCAAUUUUGUGGCUUUCGUACCAUUCUCAUUGGGAAUGAUUGUCCUGUGUGAUCUAUCAUGGUUAUUCUCUUCAGCAUCCAGUCCUAUGCUAGCAAGAGUGAUGACACAAGUGGAUAUGCCAAGCAAAUAUGUCCUGCUUGGAUCAUAUAUGCUUCUGUAA
RNAcentral lists this ribosomal RNA (321 nucleotides) under Triticum aestivum (bread wheat). RNAcentral describes it as "partial small subunit ribosomal RNA". The record is from RNAcentral. Lineage: Eukaryota; Viridiplantae; Streptophyta; Magnoliopsida; Poales; Poaceae.